GGGAAAGCCGACAGUGACAGGUGUUACCCAGCUCCCACGCAGCUGGAAAGGCUGGUCUCACUGUCAGCAUGCUCCCCCAACAGCAUCAAGUUUAUUUCCAGGCAGCAGGCGAGCAGGGCUGAGAACUUGUCCCAGGCUACAAGCCUCCCUGCUGACAACAGAAGCAGGGCUUUCAGGUUUUAUGCCUCUCUGCCUGCCACAGCUUCUGUGCUUGUAUCUGCACUCCCUGUUUGACCCCCUCCCCAGAUUCUGUCCAGGAAACUUCAUGUUCGGUAGAAAUUGUUAUAAAAUUCAACUGGAAGUUUUCCUCUCCCUCUGGUUUUUCCUCAAUUCCACUGGCAGCCCUCCCCAAGUUGCAAGAUAAAGACAGAAAAGGCUUCCCUGAGGACUGAGAGUGCCCACAGGGCUCUUGCUGCUGCUUUCUCUACCCCUAUAUUUUGUGCGGCUCUCAGCAUUUGUCUCAGCUCCAGUUCUUUAAGGUAGUAAUGAAUGACAACAAGAAGUUACUUCUCUAUGCUACACACGGUGUAGAAUCCAGAGCCUGACUGGCUGUGACGCGCCCAUGGUGACACCAAGGGGACUCUGCAUGGGCACAUCCCGGCCCUCCUCCCUGCAUGUUCUCCAAGCCAGGUCUUUGAAACCUCCAGUGAUGGGAAUGACAGAAUCUGGGAUGAUUUUCUUCUGUUUCUUAUCUAAAAAAACAACAAAAAGCUCAGCAUACACGGACUCACACAAACCUUUUGCUAGAGGCAGCUCUGUAGACUUAAGACGCUGUCAUUUUUCAGAAGAACCCAGCUUGCUUUGGAACUACAGUCAGCCCUGCAACCCACCCUCACCUUGGACCCUGCUGCUGCUGUCUGUAAAGGGUCUGGAUGAAGGAAGGGAGCCUCCAGCUUGUCGGCUGUACUUGCCCAGAAUUUAGCCUUUGCAACAUGGAGCUGCGGGGAUGGGAAAUGUUGUCCACUAGCCUUCCACAAUGCUGCGAUGAAUACACCUGUGCAUUCUUUUUUAGAACAAGUGUAAGAAUUCCUAUGUGGCUGGACGGUACUGCUGCCAUCUCGGCUCACUGCAACCUCC
This 1077-nucleotide long non-coding RNA is filed under the name Homo sapiens (human). RNAcentral describes it as "HSALNT0358343". The record is from RNAcentral. Lineage: Eukaryota; Metazoa; Chordata; Mammalia; Primates; Hominidae.